UACACUCCUACGGGAGGCAGCAGUGGGGAAUAUUGGACAAUGGGCGCAAGCCUGAUCCAGCCAUGCCGCGUGAGUGAUGAAGGCCCUAGGGUUGUAAAGCUCUUUCACCGGUGAAGAUAAUGACGGUAACCGGAGAAGAAGCCCCGGCUAACUUCGUGCCAGCAGCCGCGGUAAUACGAAGGGGGCUAGCGUUGUUUGGAUUUACUGGGCGUAAAGCGCACGUAGGCGGACUAUUAAGUCAGGGGUGAAAUCCCGGGGCUCAACCCCGGAACUGCCUUUGAUACUGGUAGUCUUGAGUUCGAGAGAGGUGAGUGGAAUUCCGAGUGUAGAGGUGAAAUUCGUAGAUAUUCGGAGGAACACCAGUGGCGAAGGCGGCUCACUGGCUCGAUACUGACGCUGAGGUGCGAAAGCGUGGGGAGCAAACAGGAUUAGAAACCCCGGUAGUCCCAU
Molecule: ribosomal RNA, 450 nt
Filed under: uncultured organism
Description: partial 16S ribosomal RNA
Rfam family: Bacterial small subunit ribosomal RNA
Source: RNAcentral